This is a non-coding RNA of Bemisia tabaci, 102 nucleotides long. Lineage: Eukaryota; Metazoa; Arthropoda; Insecta; Hemiptera; Aleyrodidae. The record is from RefSeq and is a predicted model, not a curated record.
UGUAGAGGAAUUGAUGGAUGUAGAGGAAUCGAUGGAUGUAGAGGAAUCGAUGGAUGUAGAGGAAUCGAUGGAUGUAGAGGAAUCGCUGGAUGUAGAGGAAUC